RNAcentral lists this ribosomal RNA (923 nucleotides) under Blastocystis sp. subtype 11. RNAcentral describes it as "bacterial SSU rRNA". It matches the Rfam family "Eukaryotic small subunit ribosomal RNA", at positions 510 to 1474 of the family's 1831-position model. Lineage: Eukaryota; Bigyra; Opalinata; Blastocystidae. The record is from RNAcentral.
UUGAUUGAGACAAUGUACAACACUUAUCGAUCAACUAUUGGAGGGCAAGUCUGGUGCCAGCAGCCGCGGUAAUUCCAGCUCCAAUAGCGUAUAUGAACGUUGUUGCAGUUAAAAAGCUCGUAGUUGAAGUGUGGAUGUGACUGUCGUAUGUCUUCGGACUGUCGGCACGAAUCAUCCCCUUCCAGUGUUCACGCAUGGGUAUUAACUUAUUUGUGCGUGGGUAUUGGUCCUUUACUGUGAGAAAAUUAGAGUGUUCAAAGCAGACGUUUGUUUGAAUACAUUAGCAUGGAAUAAUAAUUGAAGGCUUUCGUGUUCGAUUUGAUUGGUUUGUUCAUGGAAGCAAGAUUAAAAGGAGCAGUUGGGGGUAUUCAUAUUCAAUAGUUAGAGGUGAAAUUCUCGGACUUAUGGAAGAUGAACAAGUGCGAAAGCAUUCACCAAGGAUGUAUUCAUUAAUCAAGAACGAAAGCUAGGGGAUCGAAGAGGAUUAGAUACCCUCGUAGUCUUAGCUAUAAACGAUUCCGACUAGGGGUUAGUAGAGGUCAAUGUGUCUUUAUUAGUACCUUAUGAGAAAUCAAAGUCUUUGGGUUCCGGGGGGAGUAUGGUCGCAAGGCUGAAACUUAAAGGAAUUGACGGAAGGGCACCUCCAGGAGUGGAUCCUGCGGCUUAAUUCGACUCAACACGGGGAAACUUGCCAGGUCCAGACAUAGGAAGCAUUGUCAGAUUGAUAGCUCUUUCUUGAUUCUAUGCGCGGUGGUGCAUGCCCGUUCUUAGUUGGUGGAGUGAUUCGUCUGUCUAAUUACGAUCACGAGCGACACCUCCACCUUUAGCUAGUUGUUGUCAUUUCGAUAUGCGCAACUUCGUAUAGGGCCCCUGUAUGUUAAAAGUAGGGAAGCUGCAGCCAAUAACAGGUCUGUGAUUGCCUU